CAGGCCUAUAAGUAGAGGCAUGAUUUUACACAAGCUUCAGAUACCGGUCACGCGCGCAAGGCGUUCCCAUACUGAAAGCUCAUCACAUUAUAGAAUAAAGUUAAUAAGUGGAACCUGAACAUCAAUAGUAACUUUCACCGUUUGAGCAUGGUCUGGACUUUAAGUUCACUUGGAAAUCCUCUAUAAGUUAUUGGUCAUGGGGGGAAAUAAGAUUAAUCCAUCAGGAUCACGUUACGAUCUAUAAUUACAUCAUCAUUUACACUCCGUGUUGUUCAUGAUCAGGUGAUUUGUAGGAUGUAGAAAUCCGUCUCCAGAUUUUGAGUGAGUUUUAUGAACACGGUAACGUCCCUACACGCACCUCAGACAAGAUUUUUCACUUUAUUCGGUUUAUUCUAAUUCUGUAACCUUGACAACACUGUGACGUCAUGGCUCAGCCAGCAAUAAAACAUUCCACUCAGCUGAAGUGGUCUUUGGUUUCUACAGACAGAUCACUGAGAGAACAAGAGAAAAAGCAGCAAUGACGAUCACUCCAGAAUCGAGUAACAGGCCUACAAACCAAGAUUUCUUGCAGCAAACUGCACGACCUGAGGAAGUUCUGCAUAGAACGCCCAGAAUGGAUCCGAUUGGUCUUCCCCCAUCCAGAGCACCGGUGUGUGGGGAAAAGUUAAGCAAAACAACCAGCAAUCCUGAGGAACUUACAGGUACUACAGAGGUAAAGAGUAAGUCUCUUGAGGCUACAAUUGAGGUAGAACCUCAAUUAAGAACCAACAUUACUGAUGCUAUCCUGGAUUGUAUAACCUCUACAUCGUUCAAGAAUCAGCUCGCUCUGCGCAUUGUGGGUGAGAUUGAUGAUAUACUAGCAAAAGCUGUGUCCCAGGUUCACGAGAAACAGCAUGCUGUGAGUUUCGAAACAGCAGAAGAUAAGACGAACAUCUCCCCGGAACAACAAUCGAGCAACAAUGUUUUCAUGCCUGGCUUCAGUGAUGGUGUGGCAUCUGUGCUUGGUUAUGCACUGAUAGAAGUUAGAGAACAUGUGAAAAAAACUUUUAGAAGCCAGUCACACAAAUUUCAGACAGUCUCACCCACGGCAUGCGAUUCUGUAACAGAAAUAGUGGACAGCGUCUUUGAAAGCAUGCUUGAUUCCUUGACUGCUCAACUGAAACCAGAUGUUUGCACUGAAAGGGAUCCUAGCAUGAUUGAUUCUCUUUAUAGUCAUGAGUUUGAUACAGUGUUUGAUAGUAUCCUUCCCAGCACUGACUCAGAUUUCAACCAGAGUCCAGUCCAUGAGCCAAGAGGAAGUGAUGAUGAGUCUAGUGUGACAACUCAGGGCAGUGAGACAUUAGACAUUGUGAAAGAGAGAGCUGACUCCCCAAGAAGAUCUACCAAAGUCCCGUUCUCCACAGUAUUUGACCAGUCUUCUGGACCUGAAGUUAAGGCCAAAGAUGAGGUUGAGGGCAUCUUGGCUGAUUCUGGAAGCAUGAGCCACCUUGAUGACCCUCUGACUUCAAGAAUCAAAUCUGACUCCGAUUCGGAUACAAGCGUUCUUGAGCUCACUGCUACUUCUGCAACGGAAAAUGUUGACCACAUGUCAAGAUCUGAUGAAGUAGCAGAAGAAGGACUUGUGGCUAAAUCAGAUGUUGAGCUUGAGCAAAUCAUGGCUGCUCCUUCUGAGGAAAACACUCCUUCUGACAUAACUUCCCAAAGCCUUGAGCUGAUUGGACACCAGGAAUGUGCUAGCCCUGUCCCUUCACCACCUUCUAGUGAUCAGCCAGAGGAUCUGCCAGCUCUUUGCCAAACAGAGCAUCUUUGACCAGUCUCACCAAAAUGUAGAGAGUGAUGGCAAGCGUAGACUUUCUCUGACUGGCAUGGAAAUGGGUUCUUCUGGAAGCAGAAGUCGCCUUGAUGAACCUCAGUUCAUCUGAAACUUACAACGUUGAAGAAGCUGCAGCAAAAUCAGCUGGAUACAAAGCAGUACUAUGUUGAAAUUAUUCUG
Molecule: long non-coding RNA, 1993 nt
Organism: Ictalurus punctatus (channel catfish)
Lineage: Eukaryota; Metazoa; Chordata; Actinopteri; Siluriformes; Ictaluridae
Source: Ensembl